This 220-nucleotide long non-coding RNA is filed under the name Chinchilla lanigera (long-tailed chinchilla). RNAcentral's name for it is "lncRNA (ENSCLAG00000023880.1)". Lineage: Eukaryota; Metazoa; Chordata; Mammalia; Rodentia; Chinchillidae. The record is from RNAcentral.
GCUCUACUAAAAAGAUUCGGCUAGCCAUCACUUCUAAUGUCUGAAGAACUGUGCAGAGGAAGCCAGCAUUCUAGAGUUUAUCUUGAUAUAGUCCAGCUGACAGAGAAAUUUAUACUACAUUCUAACACAGAGCCUGACAAUGAGAUCAUACCUCCUAAAGAAACAAAAGAAGACUUCUCGAAGUGCUUCAUAAAGCAGCAAGAACGAUGGGACAAGUGCG